CUCAGUAACACGUGGAUAACCUACCCUGGAGUGGGGGAUAAUCUCGGAAAACUGAGGAUAAUACCCCAUAGAUCUUCGAUACUGGAAUGUGCCUAGGUUGAAAGCUACGGCGCUUCAGGAUGGGUCUGCGGCCUAUCAGGUUGUAGUGAGUGUAAAGGACUCACUAGCCGACGACGGGUACGGGCUGUGGGAGCAGUUGCCCGGAGAUGGACUCUGAGACACGAGUCCAGGCCCUACGGGGCGCAGCAGGCGCGAAAACUUCACAAUGCGCGGAAGCGCGAUGAGGGGAUUCCAAGUGCGUGCACUAUGUGUACGCUGUUUACUAGUCUAAAAAGCUAGUAGAGUAAGGGCUGGGUAAGACUGGUGCCAGCCGCCGCGGUAAUACCAGCGGCCCUAGUGGUGAUCGUUAUUAUUGGGCCUAAAGCGUCCGUAGCCGGUCCGGUAAAUCUCUGGGUAAAUCGUUGGGCUUAACUCAACGAAUUCUGGGGAGACUGCCGGACUUGGGACCGGGAGAGGUCGGAGGUACUCCAGGGGUAGGGGUGAAAUCCUGUAAUCCUUGGGGGACCACCGGUGGCGAAGGCGUCCGACCAGAACGGGUCCGACGGUAAGGGACGAAGCCCUGGGGCGCGAACCGGAUUAGAUACCCGGGUAGUCCAGGGUGUAAACGCUGUGCGCUUGGUGUUGGGGGUCCUUCGUGGGCACCCAGUGCCGGAGAGAAGUUGUUAAGCGCACCGCCUGGGGAGUACGGUCGCAAGACUGAAACUAAAG
Molecule: ribosomal RNA, 768 nt
Filed under: uncultured archaeon
Lineage: Archaea
Description: bacterial SSU rRNA
Rfam family: Archaeal small subunit ribosomal RNA
Source: RNAcentral